RNAcentral lists this ribosomal RNA (467 nucleotides) under uncultured bacterium. Its description in RNAcentral is "partial 16S ribosomal RNA". It matches the Rfam family "Bacterial small subunit ribosomal RNA", at positions 28 to 507 of the family's 1533-position model. The record is from RNAcentral.
GACGAACGCUGGCGGCGUGCUUAACACAUGCAAGUCGAACGGAAAGGCCUCUUUCGGGGGGUACUCGAGUGGCGAACGGGUGAGUAACACGUGAGUAACCUGCCCUUGACUUUGGGAUAACUUCAGGAAACUGGGGCUAUAACCGGAUAGGAGCUCCUGUUGUAUGGUGGGGGUUGGAAAGUUUCGGCGGUUGGGGAUGGACUCGCGGCUUAUCAGCUUGUUGGUGGGGUAGUGGCUUACCAAGGCUUUGACGGGUAGCCGGCCUGAGAGGGUGACCGGCCACAUUGGGACUGAGAUACGGCCCAGACUCCUACGGGAGGCAGCAGUGGGGAAUAUUGCACAAUGGGUGGAAGCCUGAUGCAGCAACGCCGUGUGCGGGAUGACGGGCUUCGGGUUGUAAACCGCUUUCGCUCAUGACGAAGCUUUGUGUGACGGUAGUGGGUAAAGAAGCACCGGCUAACUACGUG